GCACAGUUUAUACCGUAGCUUGCUACACCAUAGACUGUGAGUUGCGAACGGGUGAGUAACGCGUAGGUAACCUGCCUAUUAGAGGGGGAUAACUAUUGGAAACGAUAGCUAAUACCGCAUAACAGUAUGUAACACAUGUUAGAUGCUUGAAAGAUGCAAUUGCAUCGCUAGUAGAUGGACCUGCGUUGUAUUAGCUAGUAGGUAGGGUAAAGGCCUACCUAGGCAACGAUACAUAGCCGACCUGAGAGGGUGAUCGGCCACACUGGGACUGAGACACGGCCCAGACUCCUACGGGAGGCAGCAGUAGGGAAUCUUCGGCAAUGGGGGGAACCCUGACCGAGCAACGCCGCGUGAGUGAAGAAGGUUUUCGGAUCGUAAAGCUCUGUUGUUAAGGAAGAACGAGUGUGAGAAUGGAAAGUUCAUACUGUGACGGUACUUAACCAGAAAGGGACGGCUAACUACGUGCCAGCAGCCGCGGUAAUACGUAGGUCCCGAGCGUUGUCCGGAUUUAUUGGGCGUAAAGCGAGCGCAGGCGGUUAGAAAAGUCUGAAGUGAAAGGCAGUGGCUCAACCAUUGUAGGCUUUGGAAACUGUUUAACUUGAGUGCAGAAGGGGAGAGUGGAAUUCCAUGUGUAGCGGUGAAAUGCGUAGAUAUAUGGAGGAACACCGGUGGCGAAAGCGGCUCUCUGGUCUGUAACUGACGCUGAGGCUCGAAAGCGUGGGGAGCGAACAGGAUUAGAUACCCUGGUAGUCCACGCCGUAAACGAUGAGUGCUAGGUGUUAGGUCCUUUCCGGGA
This 796-nucleotide ribosomal RNA is filed under the name uncultured Streptococcaceae bacterium. RNAcentral's name for it is "bacterial SSU rRNA". It matches the Rfam family "Bacterial small subunit ribosomal RNA", at positions 61 to 838 of the family's 1533-position model. The record is from RNAcentral. Lineage: Bacteria; Bacillati; Bacillota; Bacilli; Lactobacillales; Streptococcaceae.